GGCUUGUUGAUUAUAAUUUCAGGUCUAGCCUGCCCAAUGAUUUUUAAAUGGCUGCGGUAUAUUGACCGUACAAAGGUAGCAUAAUCACUAGUUUCUUAAUUAGAAGCUUGAAUGAAAGGUUUGAUGAAAAAAUAGCUGUCUCUUUAAAAAUUUAAUAGAAUUUUAUUUUUAAGUGAAAAGGCUUAGAUGUGAAUAAAAGACGAGAAGACCCUAUAGAGUUUUAUAUUUAAGAUAAAUGUUAAAGUUUCUAGAAUUAGAAAUUUUUGUUUGUUUAAAAUAUUUUGUUGGGGUGACAGAAAAAUUAACUAAACUUUUUUAAAAUAUACAUUACACUAAUGUGUGGAUGGAAGAUCCUUGUUUAAAGAUUGAAAGAUUAAAUUACCUUAGGGAUAACAGCGUAAUUUUUUAUAGAGUUCUUAUCGAAUAAAAAGUUUGCGACCUCGAUGUUGGAUUAAAAUUUAUUUUUGGCGGAGAAGCUAGAAUAUUAGGUCUGUUCGACCUUUGAAAUUUUACAUGAUCUGAGUUUAAACCGGUGUGAG
Molecule: ribosomal RNA, 539 nt
Filed under: Trigonopterus sp. 883 AR-2022a
Lineage: Eukaryota; Metazoa; Arthropoda; Insecta; Coleoptera; Curculionidae
Description: partial large subunit ribosomal RNA
Rfam family: Bacterial large subunit ribosomal RNA
Source: RNAcentral